This 257-nucleotide ribosomal RNA is filed under the name Vibrio parahaemolyticus. RNAcentral describes it as "partial 23S ribosomal RNA". It matches the Rfam family "Bacterial large subunit ribosomal RNA", at positions 60 to 361 of the family's 2925-position model. Lineage: Bacteria; Pseudomonadati; Pseudomonadota; Gammaproteobacteria; Vibrionales; Vibrionaceae. The record is from RNAcentral.
AGUAACUUGCGAUAAGCCCAGAUUAGGUAGUAACAACCAUUUGAGUCUGGGAUUUCUGAAUGGGGAAACCCACGUGCAUAAGCACGUAUCCUUACCUGAAUACAUAGGGUAAGGAGGCGAACCGGGGGAACUGAAACAUCUAAGUACCCCGAGGAAAAGAAAUCAACCGAGAUUCCGAAAGUAGCGGCGAGCGAAAUUGGACUAGCCCUUAAGCUUUACACGCGUUAGACGAACGGUCUGGAAAGUCCGACGAUACA